Molecule: non-coding RNA, 114 nt
Organism: Ornithorhynchus anatinus (platypus)
Lineage: Eukaryota; Metazoa; Chordata; Mammalia; Monotremata; Ornithorhynchidae
Product: microRNA mir-1421q
Exons: 1
Source: RefSeq, marked provisional
UUCCAGCUGAUCUACCUCACGGUGUGAGGUGGUCGCUUGAGUUGCAGUGGGGUAGUGGAACACACUGCAUCCCAUGUGACCACCCUACACAGUGCCGGGCAUCUCUGUCAGGAG